CCAAAUUCAUCUUCUGAAUUCAUAAUUUUUUCUUUCUUUCUAUGUUUUGCGAAUUCGAUUUUCAAUUAAGAAAGUUCCGAUGAGGAAGAAAUCCCCUUAAAGAUAGGAAGUGCCGUAUGACACUUUAAACAGCAGCGGAUCACGGCGGCGCGUCAUCCCAUCCACCAAUUCGCCGGCCUCCGAUCAUUAACACGAUCUUAGAGCUCAGUUCGUUGGUCGGGAUUCGCGUUUUAGCCUCUUCCACUGUGUGUGUGAUUUUGAACGGGUCUCUGAGGUUUUUUUCAUCUACUUUUCUAUCAAAUCAUUUGAUUUUUUCUUCAUAUCUUCUGGUUCGAUGCCACGUCGACGGUAGCCAAAAGUGCAGUGACCGACGAUGCUAUGAUUGAACCUAUAACAGACUUUGUGUCUUUCGCAAUUUUAUAGGAACCUGUGAACUGAUUGUUAUCCGUUCAUUCACAGAGCCGGUUUUUGCGAUUACAUUUUUUUUAAUAAAAAAAAUAUUUUUAAUUGAUUGAUUUUUGAUGAAAUUUGUGUGUUGCCAAUGAGGUAUUAAAUCGUUAUAAGUUGGAAUUACCGACUGAUUUUACAUUGAUGAUACAUCGACUAUCUGAGGCAUUUCAAAUUGUUUUGAAUUUUUUGGAUCUUAAUAUUCAUAUAAAAAAGAUAAAUUGAUCGAUAGUUUGUUUUUUUGGCAUUAAUAUUAUAUGAAUAUUCACAGCAGAUCAUGUUGUAAUUCAUAAGAACAAGGAAUUGCUUUUUAACUAAAAUGUCCGAAUUAGGGUGUAACGUUUUUAAUUAGUUCCACACUAUUAAAAUUUUUUUGGAUGAAAAUAAUUUAUUCAGGUGAUAACUUAUUUUUAUUUUAGAUUUGCUAUGUGGUAGUUGUUUGUGGUUUGUAGAUAGUGAUUUUGAAUUGUUUUGUGUCGAGGCUUGAACAAUGUUGCUUGAUGAUUCUUGAAAGUGCCGAAGUGUAGCUCAAGAGCACGUGUGAAUUUGUAAUUUGUCUUACAGAAGAUUGUUGUUGGCUUAUUCUCCUUGAAAGGAAAAAGAUGAUUCAUUUCGGAAUGUUGAUAUAUGACAUUUUCUGGAAAGUUGAUAGCUGACGUUUGCUUGAGACUUGAGAGGAUUAUGUGUGGUUAAGAAAACUUAGGUGUGAUUUGUGAGGGAUUAAGAAUUAUAAAUCUAUUUGUGAUCCAAAAGAAAAAAAUGACUAAUGGGAUGGGGAUUGCAUCAUCUGUUCCCGAUUAAUUUUAGGUUUAAAGAAAUUAAUUUUUUAGGUUAAAAGAAGUCUAUAAUAUAAUUUUAUAAUUUUUUUUGACAUCCCUAAUUAGUGCAAUGAGAGUAAGAUCCCUGACAACAAAUAGGAAAUAGUAAGGAAAGAUGAUAUUAGAUAUAGCACGGAAAAGGAGAAGAGACUACUUGAGUAGGUAAUGAGAGAAAUUAGAGAGGAUAAAGCGUAGUAUGUAAGAAAAAGAAAGAGAAAGUUUGGAAGAGAAAAGAGCACAAUAUGUAUUGAUGCAUACAAGUAAUUUUGUUGGAAUGUUGACUAAUGGAAUCUUUAACGUAUCCUGGUUACCUGAUAAAAUAAAGUAUGUUGGAAUGUUGACUAAUGGAAUCUUUAAAGUAUCCCGGUUACCUGAUAAUCUCUCGUAUUCGGCUAUAGCAAGAGCCCUAAAUCUAGAGCCGCUUGACAUUCCAAUCUAGUUUCAACAAUGCACUUUUCGGACUGAGAAAGAGGGUUUGCUUGGCGUAAUGAUUCAAAUUUGGAAAUAAAUAACAAAAAAUAUUUUACAAGGAUUCUGUACAUAUAAAAAACGUAGAAAUCUGAUUUAUGAUGAAGAAAGUUAUGACCCGUCGAAAUUUUACGAUCAAACAGACAUGAGUCGAUAAUCGUAAAAAGUGAAUUUUUGAAAACUAUUUUUUAGCCUUUAAACGAAAGCGUACAAUUUUAAUUUUUCUAAGAUUCAUAGCAGUAUACAACUUGGAAAUUGAAUUUCAGAUUGAUCGAUUAUUGACACAAUCUAAACGACAAUUGAAGAUCUUGUUAAUAGAAGCUCAACGAUAUAAAUACAGUCGAAAACGGACGUCAGAUGAUAAAGUUAUGAAUUUUUAACAGAUUUUUAACUGUCUAAGCAUGUUAAAAUAUACCUUUAUAGAUAACGUCAAAACUAGCCGACAGAGUUUAUGUAACAUCCUGAAUUUUAGAAGUAUGAUUUAAAGGUUUAUAGUGUAUAUUCGAAGAAGGAACUCGAUGAGUAGGUACGCUUACUCGUCGAGUCGGAGCGAGUUUGGGUCGCGAAUUAAGUGACCAACUUGCCGAGUCGAAAGCUGGACUCGACGAGUUUGUGCUGGAAUGAGAAAACCCUAAUCUUUGGGUUUGCAUCCUAUUUAAAGGACUUUAUGUCCUUCUCCCAGCCUCCUAAUCCCCCAGAGAGUUCUAGAAAACCCUAAUUUCGUGUGAGACUUCAUUAUUGAGGAGAUUGGAGCUUGGAAGAGGAAUUUGGUGGAAGGAGCUUGAGAAAUUAGGGGCUAGUAUCAAGGGGCUUGUAUGGAUCUGGGAUCUACAUAUGUUUGGACAUAUUUCAGAGGUAAGAAGCCAUAAUCUUAUGCUAAUUUCCAUUUUGGUUCAUCCUUGGUGGUUGAUGUGGAGUUCCUUGGCUUGUUUGAGAUCUAUCUCGAGUUGGAGUUUAGAUCUGAGGUUCCUACUCCAGAUCUAGACUUAUGAUGGCCUAGAAUGUCAUAAAGUUUCAGUCAUUGAGUUGUUGGUGAAGCCCCUUUGUCUAAAACCCAAGCCAUAGUGUGUUUUGGGCCUUUAUCUCCUUGGUUUCACGUAAAGUUUGCAACUUUAUGUGAGGGUUAGAUUGUAGAAUGGUGGAUCUAUGGUUUAGAGCCCCUGCAUGGCUCGAAAAGCCUCUAUAUGGAAUAAGAAAUGGAGAAACUCAGGGAGUCACAUGGGUGUACUCGACGAGUUGUAUGAACAUGUGCAGGGACUCGGCGAGUUGGAAGAACAACUCGGCGAGUCUAUUGAAGAUUGUCUUGGACUCGGCGAGUCUGUUCUUGGACUCGGUGAGUCAGGUCGCAGAACCCCAACCUCUUUUGGUUAAAUCCUUGGAUUAAGUGAGUCGGUCGGCGACUCAUUGAGUUAGACAGGAUGCGACUCAGAGAUUGUUGGACUCGGCGAGUCUUGGGGUGACUCGGCGAGUUAAGUUGUCUUAUGAGAGUUUUUUGGGAAUGGGAACUCGGCGAGUCGACAGGUUGACUCGACGAGUAGAAUCAACCGGGAAGGUUGACUUUGACUGAGGACUUUGACUUUGACCAAUAGUUGACCAGUUUGACUUCAAGGGUAUUUUGGUAAUUCUGGUAUUUAUGGCAUUGGUUCUUUGAUAGUGUUCUGUGGUGAAGUUUGUGUCGGUGGUCGAAGCAGCUUGGUCUUAUCUCUCCAGUCGGCAAUUGCAGGUGAGUUAUCCUCACUAUACCGACAUGGUCUACGACACCAAGGCCGACCCUUUAUCGGAUGGAAAUCCGGGUAUUGUUUGUUAUGUUAUUGCUUUGCUAGAUUUGCAUCCUAGUAUUUAGGAUGGUGUUAUGUUAGUGACCUCGUUAAGGUCGGUACCCGAUAUUUAGGGUAGUGUUAUGUUAUUGACCUGGUUAAGGUCGGUACCCGGUAUAUAGGGUGAUGUUAUGCUAGUAACCGGUUAGGUCGGAAUCCUGGUUAGGAUGUUGAUAUGCUAUGUGAUUUGUUAGACUGUUUGUCUGGUUAAUGAUUUGUUAUGUGAUUAAUUGCUUUAUGUGCACAUGAUUGUUUGACGGGGGUUGGAUUGAGGCGGGUCCUGCUUUGUGUUGUAGGCCAACAUAGCCACGCCGGACCGGAUAUUCCGAAGGCCGAGCGAGCGGUUCGGAUAGGCUGAAGGCCCCAAGAGGGCGGACCAGACGUGCCGAGGCUCGGGGGGUGGGACANUCCAUCUUGUGUGAUGAUUGGACCCAUAGUAGUUAUUGUUGUAUGUAUAGGAUUUGGGCAUUCCAACCCGAUGGUUGUGGACCGAGAGUAUUCCAUCCCGGUAGGAUGAUUGGGCUCGUGUUAUGUAGGCAUACCAACCCGAUGGUUGAGGGCCAGGGGUAUUCCAAUUGGAAGGUUGAUUGGUCCCGUAAUAUGUUGUUCUUUGCUGUAUGCGUAUGUUUAUGUGUGUAUGGGUACUUUGGGGGAACUCACUAAGCUUUCGGGCUUACAGUUGUGGUUUAUUGUUUCAGGUGCUUCAGGAGAUCGUGACAAGGCGAAGGCGUGAUCGUACCGCUCUUCAUGUUUUAUGAUUUAUGUGAUAUGGUUCUGGGGAAUACUCUGGUGUUUAAACUAUUUUGAAAACAAGUGUAUGAACUUAAUGGUUUUUAAAUGAAUUAAAAUGUUUUAAUUUGGCUCGAAUUUUAUGGUCGCUACAGUUUAAACGAAAGUUGUCGAUCACAUCGUUACGUACAUAUGGAUAUAAAGAAUGUAAAAAAACGUAGCUCGUAUGUGAAAGUUACGAAAUUUAGAAGAUAUUUUGUUUUUGGGUUAAGUUCUGGAGGUGACACGUGGCAUAAACUCAGCCCCACCUUCCUCCCCAUGACUUUGCAUAUGAUCUCGACACGUGGCAUGCGUACGCCCAACGUAGCAUGCGUACGCCCAACAUAUAGCAGUACACCCAACGUACAUCAAAAUUACUCCCUGUGUACUCACAAGUUUCAGCCUAUAAAUAGAGGCGCAAAUAAUCUCAUUUCUUUACACCUUUCUAACUUUUUCUUUCCCAAACACCCCAAAACCCUCAAGGUUUUUCCCUAGCACCUCCUAGGUGUUAGUAGCGAGUCCCAGAGCGCCAGACGGUCCCGAGAAGAAGAGCUGGCUCAGAAGUUCUGGUCGCACAGAGUCCGGUUCCUCGCUAAACUCUCUUGUAAGUGAGUUAUGCUUACCCUACUUUCAGUAUAACUUAUUUUUAAGCUCAUUAUCGUUAUUUGAACAUAUAAACAAGAUUUAUCAGUGAUUCUAAAUUGUUAUACUGAUUGAUCUACUUACGGGGAUGAUGUCUAGGUUGUGAUUUAAUGAGGUGUUUAAAGUGAGAUUUCCAAACAGUAUACUUCGUAUACCAAACGGACCAUACCUCCGAUAUGAUCCUACCUGGUUGUUCCUUACUUGAUAGAUCAUGAAAGUAGACUUUGAGUUAAUGAUGAAUCUAGACUAAUAAUUAGUCGCAAUAAAUAUUAGACUAAAAACUUAUUGAUUAGGUUUCGUCGAAGAAAAAAACGAUUGUUAGAAGCGAAGCACUGUCCGAAUUUCGAGUCAUCACUUUAACAAGUGAGUACAUAGUCCCUUUCAUGAACAUCAUUUUAAUACAAGUAUUAAUUAAAGUAUUAAAUAUAUGUUUAUGUGUGAAAUAUUGGAUAUUGCCUGAAAUACGUGUUAAGAACAUAUCUGAUAAUAUAUGAUGAUUUAUGAUACAGAAUAAACCUAAAUUAAUUAAAAAGAAUACCGAGUGGUAUAUUCUUAUGAGUACGGGUGAGAUAUACACGGAGGGUAGAACUUUAAAAAGUGUCAUUAAUCCGAGAGCAUGGAUUAGACAUAUUCAUUCGUCCCUAGUUCGAGAGUAUGAAGUUGGCAUAAUCACGUGUCAUUGAUCUGAGAGCAUGAAUUUGACAUACUUGAUCCGAGAGUAUGAAUUAGGUAAAGCUGUUAAUUUUAUAUUCGAGAGCAUGGAUCGUAUCGUUAUGAGGAUCGACGGGGUAGGGUAAAAAUUGCUUAUAUGAGGUGAAAUUGUAUAUAUUGUGAGUUCUAAAAUAUAUAUGAUAUAAGAUUAUGAGAUUGAAAUCCCUAUGUACUCACCAGGUUUCCCAACCUGACCCACUCAGUUUAUUUCAAUCACAUGUAUCGAUGCGAAAAUACACUACACUAAAAGAUUAAAGGAGAUGUAAAUCAUUAGUGUAAAUGAAUGUAAGGUAUGCUUAUGCUUAUGUUUCUGUAUUGACGAUAACAUCCCAAUGUUUUAAAUAAAAAGACAUUUCUUCGAAAAUGCUUUGAUAACAUCGUUAUCAUGUUUUCUGGAAAUAAAUUCCGCAAUACUACUUUUCAAAAAUGAUACUCUGAUUUUUAAUUAAGCAUAAAUAAAAAUUUUAAAAUGACCGUGAAUGUGGGGAUGUCACAAUCGAGAAGGAUAAAGAGGAGGAGAUUAGAUUAUGAAAAGGAGAAUAGAAAAAUGUAAUAUGGAAAGAUAAAAGAGAAAGAAGAAGAAUACAUAGACAUGAAAAUAGAAAAAAAUAACUUACCAACCAUUAUUGUCUGUGACAUUGUUGUCUACAAUGUCUGAUGUUGUAGAGAUGUUUCAUGUUUUAUAGGUUCAUCUAACAGUCAUGGUACGUGAAAAGAUAGGAGCACAUUGAGUUCGACUAUAUUGCUAAUUUAGUUGUAUUUUACCUUGUUGAUUAUUAAAAUUAUAUGUAUGAUUUUAUUGUAAACUCGAAUGUAACCUGCGAUGUAAAUUGUUUUGAGUUAAUAGAAUUUCGUCUUUUAGUAGAUAAGUUCAUAAGUAUGACAAUUCCUAGUUAAUUAGAUGUAGAAAGUCCAGAUCGUUACAAUUUUACCUUAUUAUCCUUUUGGGGAUGGUCAUGGUUGUUUUAGGUUGCAUUGACUUAUGAUUAUCUCCUUGUUUGCAUCCAUGACCUUGAUUUUGUCUUUGGACUCAACGUAGACCUUAACUUUCACUUAAGGUAUUUGUAAAAUAGGUUUAAAAUGUUUUUUUUAAGUUAAAAAUAUUUAAACCAAAUGAAAACAACAAACCAUUUUUUAAAAUGUAAAUCUUAUAUUUUUCCUAUGGAGAAAAUGUAAUAUCUUGUUUUCAUGUAUUCCAUUUUGACCCUUAGUUUGAGUAUUGUUUGCAAAAUUAGUCCCGAGUGGCAUUUUUGUAGUUUUAUGAGGCUACAUGUGUACGAUGGGCGUACGUGGCCAGGGUACAAACCCUUUUUUUUAGGGUUUGGACCCUAUUUAAACAUCAUUAUAGCCUGAUACUCUUUCUUAACUCCAACCUCCAUCUCCCAUAGCCUCCAUCUCGAAAGCCUAAGUGUGUGAGUGUGUUUUGGAGCUUUGGAGUGUCAUUUUGGUUCUCUUGGUGGUGAAGGAAGACUCUUGGAGUUGUGGUGUUUCACUGAAGUCUUUGGAUCCAACAACUACUCUCCUUUGUGCGUCUUCUGAGGUAUAAAGCUCCAUCCUUGAUGAAUAUUCCUUCAGAUCUUGUUCAGUCUUAGAAGGUUACACCUUUUUGUACCAAAUCUUGAUUCUUGUGAGUAUGGAAUACUACAGGACCUUUAAGUUGUCCUUUAAGAUGUUUUAGGGCAUGAUAAGUCAUUAAAAUGUAAUCUUUAUCCUUAGUUUUCCACCAUGCAUGGUCUAGGUUGUCUUAAUGAGUUAAUAAGUUAGGGUUUUUAGUAUUCAACACUUAAUAGCCAUGCAAGAUCAUAAAGUUGGAAACUUUAUGAUUAAGGACAUCAUUUGAGGAGUACAUUUGGACUUUGGACGAAAAGGAUUAAAUGAUUAAGCUCUUAAUAGAAAGGAAUGAUGGCAGACGCGUAUGUUGUGCGUACGUGGUCAACUCGACGAUUCUAGUCAAUACGUAGUACGCCCCGCGUACGGGUUGAGUACGCCCAACGUACUCAUUGAGUUGACCCGGUUGACUUUUGACUUUGACCUAGGGGUAUUUUGGGUAUUUUGAGCUAUAGUCUGAGUUUUGGUCACUGUUAUUUGUAAAGGUGAUCGGUAGAGUUGGUUUUCAGAGCAACGUGUUGUUUCAUCUUUUGUCCGACUGUGAGGUGAGUUUUUCAUGGUAUCCAUGGGUCGAAGGCACCAAUGCCGACCUAUUAUUGUGUUAUGUAGGAUGAUAGUCGUUGUGUGGCUUCUAUGUGGUUGCAUGUUCGGGUUGAAAUAAACCCCAGGGUGGGACCCACUAUUGUAUGAUUAGGUUGGAAUAUACCCUAAGGCCGGGCCCUAGGGCUAGGCCCAUAUGUGUUGAUCAGUUUGAAAUACACCCCAGGGCCCAUAUAUGUAUAUCGGGUUGGAACACACCCCAUGGUUAAGCCUAGUUGUAUGAUUGGUAUGUGGUACUUUGGGGAACUCACUAAGCUUUGUGCUUACAAUUUAUGUUUAUGGUUUCAGGUACUUCCGGUUCAAAAGGGAAGGACCCGACAUGAUGGCACAACAUCCUCCCCUCGUGAUUUCCACAUUUUGAAUAAUUGAACUAUGCUAUUUUGAUAUUAUAUAUGGUGAUGGUUUUUGAAACAAUUAUUGAAUGAAAUUGUUGGUCUUUCAAAUGAAAAAAAUUAUCACUGUUUUUGAGCUGUUACAAAAAAACUAUAUAUAAAUAAUGUUUUCAAUUGUUGGCUAGUUUAUAUGACUAUUUCAUCUUGAGUAAUAUGAACAAUUUGAAUAAGACUAUCAUGUAGUUGAGACACCUAACACCACCCUUAACGCUAAGGCAAAAGAAUGGCUCAAUCUCAAAUAUUUCUUUCCAACAAUGUUGACGAGACAAUUUAAUUCUGCUGCGGAGAAAAUGUGUUGGGGAAAUUCGAAUUAGGUAUUGAGAAAUCUAGAUAACAAACAGGAAUCGUGUAAAACACUUUCAUUGUUUGAUACUUUGAUCCUAUAUGCAUUGGAUAUCACGAAAUCCAAACUGGGAUAAUUCCUGAUGUAGCAAUUCUAAUUUUAGGCACAAGAUCAGAAUCAAUUUUUUAGAAGAUGAAGAGAGAGUGUUUUUAGUUUCCUAUGGGACCCCUGACCUGACACAGUAGAUUAGGGUUCAAUACUAACAAUGUUUAGUAAAUACAAGUAUGCACUCCCGCACCUCCUAACUUGUAUUAUAACUAAAACAUCAUUCUUGAAACACUUGUUAAGUCCAUUACACUAAAAUACAUUUGGUGAUAAAAUCACCAUCAAAAUGGACAUUAGAAGUAUAAUUGUUUCUAACUUUUGGGUCUUAGAUAUGUAUAUUGAACAAGUCAAGAGGUGUGUCAUUUCAAAUAUGUAUAUUGAACUCCAUAUUACUUCUGUUUCUAACUUUUGGGUCUUAGAUAUAGUAUGUGGUAUUCUAAUUUACCCUAUUUUAUAGGGGAUUAAGAAGAACUAGGAAGUUGAAGCGUGUAGAGUUGAUUUGAUGUCAAUUUGCCUUUGAUUAGUUGAACCUCUCUAUACCUAAGCUUUUUAUUUUCCAUUAGUGUAUAUAUAUAUAUAUAUAUCAAUGCAAAUGUAAGUAAGAAGUUGAAGCAUGUAUAUUCGAUUUGAUGUUAGUUUGUCUUUGAUUAGGGGAACCUCUCCAUUCCUAAGCUUUUAUUUUCCGUUAGUCUCUAUAUAUCAAUCCAAAUGUGAGUAUCACACACGUUGUUUAAUGAGUCUUAAGAGUUUAUAGUAGAAGCAUUAUGAAGUUUAAACAUAUAUCUAUUUGAAAUUCUACACUCCUUGGCUUUAGUUCAUUUUUUCCAGGUAUUUAGAACAACUACGUUUUCAGUAUCAUUUUUCUACGUUGUAAAAACAUAUUGCCUCAUUAGAAUUGUUUUAAGGAAGUAUCAUAGAGUCAUUUUUUCUAUUUCCUUUGGGAUUUGGGUGAAGUUUACUCUUCUCCUUACAUUUAAGAUGGUUAACAUAGUUUUUUCAAAUUGUUUAUAUUAUAAUUUUGGAUGAUCUAGUUAUAUAAACUGGUCAAUGAGUUGAGGAUAUUAGUUACAUAAAUGGUUUUUCAUGGGUGUUACUAAAUUAUAUUUUUUUCCCUUUAAUUAAAAUAUUUUUAACCUUUUCGGAUCAUUUGUUAACUCUUAACAAUUAUUGUUUGUGUUUCAAUAUUUAUUUUUAAGCAAUCAUGUAACAAUUUAAGAUAAACACAACACACAUGUAAACAACAAGAGUAAUUGGUGGUUGUCGAGGCCAACAAAAAUAAAUACCCUAAAUAUUACAAACUAAAAUAGUAUAUAGUGGUAAGGAGAUCGUAUCCAUGGAGAUUAGUUCAAUUAAUAACUCUAUGAAAAUCUUUUUAUAUAAAUACUUGUGAUUUUUUUUUUUUUUUUUGUCUUUUGAGAUAUUUAAAAGAAAACUAGAGACUAGAGUUACACUGAGAUUUAAAAACACAAUUCAACAAAAAGCAAGGUUUAAUAUAAAAUUAAUUAGAGAAAGAUGGUUGACUUAAGGUUUCAUCACUUGAAUAGUUGGUAAAUAUAUCAUUAGAAUUCGAAGUCUAAUACUUGUCUUAAAUCUCCAAUUUGGUUAUAAUAAUCAAAGAAGCUUGAUAUUACCUAGAUUUUUCUUAGUUAUUAAAGUAGCUAAAGAAGCUCAUAACAUAUUUCUUUAGUUAAAGUCAUAAUUUUCAUUAAGCAUGUAAUUAGUGAAAAUUAACUAGCAUUAAGGACCAAAAAGUAACCAAAUCCAAGAGGAAUCAUAAGCUUCCACUACCAUGUUGGAGAAAAUAUUUUUGUGAUUGUGUGAAGUGAUCCAUUACUUAAUCAAGAAAUUAGCCAAUUAAUCACUACAAAUACAUUUAAAUUCAUGAAUAAAAACAUACAAGUAGCAAGAAGAUGUUAAAAUAUAAAACAUUUUCAUAAAGACUCAAGAAGAAGUUCUUGGAGUUCAUUAAAAUUCAACCAAACAUUCAAUCAAAUUCACCAAAGUCAACCAACAUUUGUUUUGCAUAACAUGGCUAAACUCAAGAAACUAAAAUAAAUGUUAGGGGUACCAAGCAUUUAGCAAGAUUCAAGAGUAAAAAUGAAGAUGUUCUUCAAGUCCUUCAAGUUUUUCAAGGCCUUUAAAGUACAGAGAAAAUGCUCCUAAACUCAGAUCCAAAAGUUGUCCCAAAAGCAUCCCACAAACCAUCCCAAAAUAGCAGUAAAAAAUAAAAUCUCGAAAAUGCCCCUGCAGGUCACACAAGCUACGUGAAUUUUAGCCUAUUUAUUGCACGGGACAUGUAAGCUGGUUAGAAAUGGGACUUUUUUAUUUCUUGGAUUUGAAUUGCAUUAGUCCACCAACCCAAGUUUCUCCAAUAGAUGAUAGGUCCAAGAGUCUUCAAAUCUUCAUAAUUUAACAAGUCCAAACAUUCUCUUUUUUUCUUCCAAUCUUCAUUUGAGACCGAACCCAAUUGGUUGUCAACAAAACACUUUCGAAGUAGCCCACAUCCACAUCUCUCCUUAAAUCAAUAGUCCAAUUGUGUCCAUCAAGUGAUCCGGAAAUGCACUACAAGCUUCAUGUUUUAAGAUCCCAUACUCCCAAAACUACUCCACUUUGAAUAGUCUUUAAUAAAUCUCAAAUAAGUUGAAAAGACUAAAAAGUACCCAAUAAAGAUAUAAAAUAACAAAAAUAGAAAAAAUGCAUGAAGAUUAACUAAAAUGAGAUGAAAUGUGCUAAAAUAAACUAUAAAAAAAAAGUAAACAAAAUGAAACUAUUAGUAGCAUUUUCUUUAACCCUAUGCGUUUUUCAUGUUAGUUUAUUAUUGUGUUCUCCUUUUUCAUAUUUGGAACUCACUUCCCGAGUAUUAAUUUGCUCAAACCUCUACAUUCGGUCAUACUCUUGGAAGUAAGUGGUGAUUUAAGACUGUCAUUGAGUAUUAGUAGAUUGUUCAUGCUGAUUGGACAUAACAUAGAGACUACAACUAACACUCCUGAGUACUUAAUGGAUAUUUAAGUAUAGAACAAACCACACUUAGAUAUUACUUCAUGGAUAAAGUCAUAAGUGAUUCUAAGAUGAUAAUGUCUCUUAUUCUUCAAACAGAGAUACAUGAGAUUUUUACUUUCCAACACUAUCCGUAACUUGUAGUAAUAAAGGUAUGUCGAUGUAUGGCAUGAUGAGUAGACGAAAGUUAUGUAUGGUCCCCUCGAUGAUUUGUUGCUGACAUCUAAAGUGUGACGAGCCUUGACUGAAAUUGUUGUGUUCAAUUUAGUAGUAUAAGGUGGUCGUUACAAAUCUUUAUUGGGAAACAUAAUCAUGAACAUUCGGAUUGACCCUUAUCCAUGUUUAAGGUUUAGACAAUAUCUUGUGAACAAAUGAAUAUAUGAUCACUUAUUUAAGGGCUGAAUCUUAGUUUGAUCAAAGUUUUAUAGUUUCAUUGGAUGGCAUAGUCUAUGUUGAUUAUUUGAGAAGUAUUAGACCUCAUAUAGUUGAUGACUUGUCUAAGUGGGAGACUGUUGGAAAUAGUGUCAAAUAUGAUAACUAUUAAUGAUAUUUCUAAUAAUAACAAAGUCCUUUUGGGUUGCUCUUAAGACCCAUUUAAGUAAUUAAAAGACAAAGUUUUGGGAGAAAUUAGUUUAUUAAUUUGUUAUGUUAUGAUAAAUUAACUAGAAACUAUUUUGGAACAUUCUAGAAAGAUAGGGAUAAGGGACAAAAUUUGAUAAGCCCUAUCAAGGUUUUGGAGUUGCUUUGGCAGUAAGCAAAUGAGAGCCUAUAAAUAAGGAGCUAGAGAUCAAACCCUAGUUACCCAUUCUUACUCCUAGAUUUCGUCCUCCUUUUCCUCCCUCCCAGGUAACGCAAAAUAACCCUUCUAAGGUUUUGUUUUGGCGAUUUUACCUCCCAUCUCCUAGGAUUUGUUGUUUUGCUCUCAUAGUGUUCUUGGGUGUGAUGUCGUUAGAAUGAUUCUAUUAUGGGCCCUCUCAUCCAAGAAAAUGUGGUAAGAACUCGAUCUCAAGCAAGGAGAUCUCUAGCUUCAAAAGAGGUAUGUAAUUUUUAUUACUUUAGUAGUUGCACUAAUAGAAUGAACUUAGAUCCUUAUAUAUUGCAUGAAAACAUAAAAAUUGUUAUAAUAUUCUCAUGCUUAUAAACUUGUGUUAGUAUGCCUAAACUUAUCACAAUUUCAGAAUGGGCCAUCCAAACCAAAUAAAAACAAUUUUUUCUGACAAAAAAAUAAACUUCAAACACAUUCAGGUUUCAAAUUAAAAUUCCGAAGUUCAGAAAAAAUAAAAAAAAAAACUUCAGAAUUUCGAAAACAAGUCUGAAAUCUGAUGAAUAAUUCCGGAAUGAUAAGAAAAAAAUUCCGUUUUUUAUUAAAUCUAAUAAAAAAUUAAACAAACACAAUAAAUGAGAACCAUAUACAAUAUUAUGAAUCAAACAUUGAUUGAAAAAAAAUACUAAUAUUAUUUUCGAAAUGAAUAUUUUGGACAUAAGUAGAUAGAUUUCUUUGAUUUUUUUUCUUAAGACAAAAAGAAUUUCAGAAUUUGAAAAACAGUCCAAAUGAGAUAUUAAAAAAAAAAAAAAAAAAAUUAUUUUAUUUAAAUAUGGCUAUUUAAAAUGGUUAAUGUAAUGAAUUUGCUAUUAUUAAGGAAAAAAAAAACGCUGCUAGAUACAGUCCCAACGUUGACACAGGCUCACUUUAAACACUACAAUUUCUCGGGUUAUAUUUACUUGUCCGAGGUUCUUGAUUUUUCCAUCAAGGACCAUUUUAGAAACGCAAUUUCAGAAAGGAAAAAAGAUCAAAAAACUAAACGCAACCCGUUUUCUGGAAUCAAACGCCAUCACCUAAAAUCUCACACUUUCAUCUUGAAACCCACUAAUAAGCUUCGAUUCUUUGCAGAGGGUAACGUAAAUCACUAUGCAGGGUUUAAAGAAGGGUUCCUCUCUUACAAGGCCUUUCUCAAUUCAUCAUAUCAAACGAAUGUUUUCGAAUUCAUUGUCCGCUCUUGAAGAUACUUUCUUAUCAACCAAGGUAUUUUAAAUGAUUCUGGUUUUCAUCCAAUUUCGUCGUUUGUGAUUACGCAGCAAUUAGGGCUUCUUACCUAUAUCUCCCCUCUUUUUUCCCCUUUCAUUGAUGAUCUUCAUUUUGAUAGGAUACAUAUGAGAGGCAUAAAGUUGUGUUUACAUUACUAACUUCCAUAGCAUCUAUUGGCACUGCUUGGACUGGUAUGUUUAGCUUACUUUACUUCAAUGUCGAAUUGAUCGACCUAUAUUCAUAACUUUUUCUGGAAGAAAUCUCCUGACUACAUCUGUGUCAUACUAAAUGUUAUAAAUAGCAUACUUUUGUUCCUGAAAUUGAAGAAGAAUCCAUAAGAAUACGAGAAUUAGGUUUAAGUAUAUGGAUUUGUGUAAGUUUUGCGACAUCAAACACCAUAAAAUUAACUCGAAUUACAGAAUAAGAUGCUUCUAUAAUCACUAGAUUAUGUUUGUAUCAAAUUUAACUUAAAAAUGUGAAUUUUUUUUUCAGGCUAUACGCUACGCCACCUUCAUGAAACAAAAGUUGAACAAAGGCUUGACUCAAUCGAAAAUGCUGUUAGUAUUAACAAUAAAAUUGAAACAAUGUAUAAAAUAUAUAAAAUAUAAUAAUAAGAUAGUGUUUAUACUUUAUACGUUUUUUUGUAGAUGAAAAGAAAUUAUGACCUUGAUGGAAAGGAAUUCAAAAAGAUGGUUGGAAACGGUAAUUCCAAUGCUGCAGCUUGUGUGGCCACAUCAGGUGUCACUUUGGUAAUCGGGUUUGUAAAAUAGUCUUUCUUCAAAACUUUUGUUGUUUUUAUAAAAUUUACCACAUCACACCUUGUAAUUGAACGAAAUUACGAAAAUAGUCCCUGUGGUUUUUUCAGGUAUGGGUUGGGUUGGAGAGGUGGGAGGUGGUAUGCAAACCGUAAAUUCAAAAGGGAACAGAUGAAGCUUUUGGGUCAAGUUAAACCAAAGAAAUGGCAAUUGAAGAAAAUUUUGGGUCGAUUGAGGAAGUCAAAUACUGCGGUCAAAGCAUCAGUCAAAGCAUCGGAAAGCGCGAUUCCGGUUGCACAUAAUGCUGCUUGAAAAGGGAAUGAUCAAUGAUGUAGAUUCAAGUGGAAUGGAAUCAGUUUUGAGAUAGAUAUACAUUUUUAGAGAGAGGUGAUAUAGUGUGGAGUUUUAUUACUACUAUUAACCUUGAAAUAAAGGUUUUAAUUUGUUUACACAAUUUCUUUAUGAAAUUAAUUGAUAUAGAAAAAAAAAAUCCUAAAUUUAUCAACUUCGGGUUUCCUUCUCUUUAAUGUUUGUUUUUUUGUCAGUUUUUAUUACAUAUAUAAAGAAGGAUAAACGAUAAUAAUAUACACAAAAUACAAGAUGGUAGAUGACUUUUUUUUUUUUUUAAAUUUGUGGGCCUUAACAAAUUGCAAUUGAAGGUUUUAGUAGAAUUAAAAUGCUAGCUUUUGUUGUUUAGUGAACAUUUGAAAAUUGAAAACAAAUAAAUAAAUAAAUAAAAAGUGUUAUCAGAGUUGAAAAAAGAGCAAGAGAAAAUCAUGGUAAUAUUUAUAGAAUGCUAAUUUCUCACUGGUAAAAAUAAAAAUUCCGACUAUAAAAAAACACAGAUGACAGAUGACAUAAUCAGAGAAAUUUUCCUUUGAUUAUAGUACAACAUGAGGGGUAUAUACAAUGGAGCAAAAAAAAAAAAAAAAAAAAAAANAAAUUAAAAAAAAAAAAAAAAAAAACAAACUAAAAUGUUAUAUUUUCCAUUCUCCACAAGCAUUCUUUCCGUAGGGGCGAAUCCGUAAAUAUGGCUCUGAUAAAAUCCCUCAUCUGCAACAUAUAUACAAAUAAUAAUAACUAAAUAAAAAUUGAAAGGUUUAGUUUAUAAGUGUUAUUAAGUAAAAGAUUUAAUAAUAAUAAUAAUAAUAAUAAUAAUAAUAGUAAUAAUAAUAAUACCUCAGAUGAAGUAUAACCACACUUUGCCAGCUCACCACUUUCCCAUGAUGCAGUAAUGGACUUCAAAGGCAUGUCCAACAUAUCUGUUCAUAUUUUUUAAAAUGAUAAUAUAAAAUCAUUAACUCCAAUUUGGUUGGAAUUGGAUGGAAUGGAAUGGAAUAAGUAGUUACAUUCCAUGAUCAUGUUAUUGGAAUGGAUUUUUUUAUUGUUAUAUUGAUUUCCAAUAUAUAUAAGUUUUAACUCUGCUUUUUAAGGAUAUUAGUUAUAAUUAAUAAAUUUUUAUUCCUUGCUAAAACCCAAAUAAGAUUUAUAACAAAAAAGUAUAUUAUAUUUUCUAGUUUUUUUUUUAGAGAAUAAAAUUGCUAUUUGAUUAAAACCAUGAUUUUUUUUUUCAGACAUUACAAAUUAAAUAAAUACAAAGUUGGGUUAUAUUGUGAAAUUUCAUUCCGUUCCACUUAAUUCCAUGAUGGGAAUGAAAAACAAAAGCGGAUUGACUCCAUUGGAAUGAACAAUUCCAUUCCGUCUCAGAUUUCAUCACAAACACUAGCUAAAGUAAAAGAUGCCUAGUGACACCAAUUUAAAUAAUUAAAAAAAAAAAAAAAAAACAUACCUGCUAAUAUCCGUAGUCUAGGGAGUGAUGGAAUUAGAUCAUUAAUAGAGCCUGAUGACUUCUCUUGUGGCUUUGUUGUUUGAUUGAUGGCAAUCAAAGAUUCCAUUAAAGAAGAAAGGUUUUCCAGCAGCAUAUGAAUCAACCUUUGAAGCUGAAAAAAACAAUAACGUAUUUAUGUGGAAGGAAUGGAAUCUGUGAAUGGAGUUGAACUCCAGGGGAAUCGGAAUCGGAAGAAAUUGUAAUCAAACAUCAACUCCAAACAAAUCUAACAAGAACCAAAACUCCGUCCAUUUGGCAUACAAACACGACACAGAAUGGAAUCACCGAUUCCGAUUCCGUCGGAAUCACGGAUUCCGAUCACACUCUAAUAGAUAUUACAAAGAAAGGUUUUACAAAAUGAACCUGUAAUGUUUCUUCAGCUGCAAUGUCAUCUAACAUGAGUAUAUCUUUUGUCAUUCUAGAACAAACAGCCUCCACAACACUACACAUACUUCCUUUGUAUGUCAAAGGAAGCAAAAGUGGCUCCCAUAUUAUGUGAACUUUCUCCAGUAUAAAAGCCACCUGAUCAAUACUAAAUUUUGCAGAUUCACAUCUUUUUGGUUGAUGCGUAUUUUGAAAUCCAUCAGCCCCAUCAAUCGCCUAAAAAAUUCAAAUUUUAUUAUUUAAGAGCAAAAAAAAAAAAAAAAACAAGAUUUGAAUUUGAAUUUUGAAAGAUAAAAAUAAAUUUACCUCCAUUAAAUUAUGUUUAACAAGCUGUAUCUGUCUUUGUAAUAUCUCUUCUGCCAUAAUCUUGUAUCUUACACCCAAAUCAAUAAACACAGCUCCCUUCAUGGAAAUUGGGAAAUCCGACUUAUACUGAAAUAAUAAAAUGGAAAUAUAUUUAUUUACCACUUCAAAAAAUAAUAAGUUAAACAAAAUUAAGUUAUCUUUAUUUAAUAAUCAUACCUCAAAAGCAAGGCCAAGAAUCUCUUGUGAAAGAUAAAGACAAUCAUUAUGAAUAAGAACAGCAACCUGGUUGAUUCCAUCCAGCUGUCUUUCUAACUUCAUAACACAAAAUGAAAUAUUAUAAGGCCAAAAUAAUACCAUAAAUACACACAUUUUCAUUUUCUUCAAAAUAAUUACAAACCUUGACUGGAAUAACAGCUUCAUAAAGAAGUAGAGCAUCCCUAGCAGCAUGGUAGAAUUCUAAAGCCACUGUUGCAGAUGAUAAACAAACAUCCUGCACAUAAUACACCAAUGUACUUUUGAGAGAAAACUGAAAAAGUAACUUUUUUUUUAUAUAUAUAUUAUUCAACUAAGUAAUAUUUUAUUUAACCUUUAGUGUUUCAUGGACAACUUCCAUUAAACGAGAAGCUGCUUCAGAAAUGACACAUUUUUCAGAGGAAAAAAGUAAGUCUGUGUUUCCACCAUUUUUAAGCUCUGUAUUUUUCCUUGAAUAGUCCUGUGAAAGAACUGUCAUUCAAUCAAUGUUUAUACAGUUGAUGAAGAACAGAAAAGGGUGUAUGGAAAAAGUUUAGGGAGCUUACUUUAGGAAGAUUAAAAUCUGAAUGUAGAAGAAGGUCUCUUGCUGAUGCUAAAAUCUCAAUCUUUUUCCUCAUUGCAAAGUGAACUUCAACAUUGUCAGCAAAAUUAGUCAACCUUUCAUCUUUCCCAGGGGAGAUGAACAUAACUUGUUUAAGAGAUGCCUCAAAGUCAGAUGUGAGUUGUCUUGUUGUUUGAAAGUCAGCAAGUUUGGAAGCAUCAGUGGGAACAAUCUAGCAUCACAUAAUGCAAAUCAAUUAUCUAACAUAUGAUGGUUUUGUUGUUUAAGAAGAAAUAUAAAAAGUAGUCAAUUAGAUUGAUUCUUAUGAGUUGUGAAAAGUCAUAACAUUUAUGUAAAAAGGAACGAACCUUGGAAAGGAAAUUAGAGAUAAUCAAUUCUGACAUUCGGGGCCAUGUUAAUCUUCCAAAGUAUCGCAUCCAGGAAGAAUCUUGAAAGCAGAUAAAGUUGAAAAUGAAUUGAAUCACAACAUUAAUUCCAGAAUAGAUAGUUUCAGCAUCCAUGUUCUCAAUCUGCAUGCAUAAAGGAUUAAGACACUAUAAGAAGUUAAUCUAAUAAUACUUUUUGUUAUUAGUGUUAUGCAUAAGAUAAAUAAAGAAAUGAAAUAUCCAAUGCCACUUUAUAAAUACCUGAGAAUCAGAAGGUGGGGUUAUUCUCAAAACUACCUCAGCUAUAUAUCCUGAAUCUAGUCUUUUUUCUUCUACAGAAAAACUAUGAGAACCAGAGCGCACUGCAGGUGCUAUCACAUGUCUGGUCAUCAUGUCUGCUACUUUUGCAAGCCCAUAAUCUAGAAUACCAACUACCUGCACAAGAAAAGAGAAGAAGAAAGCCUUUCAAUUUCAACUUGAUCUGCAUAUGAUGAUUAGAAAGAGAGGAACUCAAAAAUUUCUUUCUCUGUUGUUAUCAGAGGUUAAUUAACCCAAAGUUUUAGUAGAAUCAAUAUGCUUAUAAGAACUUAUCUUAUGAUUGUUCACCAACAAAAUCAAAUAAAGAGGAGAAGCUGAAAGCAUUUAAACUUACAUGCAUUGCUUUCACAACAGUACAAAGCUCAACCCCUUGAUUGUCAUUCAUAGCCAUUCUAUUUUUGACAUAAACUACAUUGGACUGCUGAUCGAAUCUCACUGCAUUCUCCAUGAACUUCACUAGCACAUUUUGUAUCUACAAACGCAAAUUCAGCUCCGGUUAACACACCACGAACUCAAGAAAGGCAAAUACUCAAUUAUGUCAUAAUUCUUAAAGAUAAUCAUCAUCUAACAUCAUAUGUUGCGAAAUAAGGAAACGUAUUGUGCCAAAUAAACGUCAGGAUUUAUCAAUUCAGUUUUUUUUCUAGCUCUACACAUGAAAAAUAAUACAAUUUCUACCUCUUCGAAGCAAUCUGUCCAUUUCUUCCUUAACAAACCAAAUACCAAUGGCUCUCUUUCUUCCCGGAGAUCCUCCACAUUAUCUCUAACUCGUAAAGCCACUUUCAAGUCUGUAAGAGCCUCUGCAGCCUCAACGACCUUUCCCGCCAUCAAAUCACUCUCCACAACACUCAACUCUUGGCUCAAUUUCAACACUACCUUAACUAAAUCUAGCGCUUCCUUCUUCUCUUUCGAUUCAACACGUUUCCUCCUAAUCUCAUCGACUGUUUCUUUGAUUUUCAGAUCGAUCGGUUGAAGAUUCGAUGAUAACAGACCAACAAGGUUAGAUACUUGAUCGGAUAGUUGCUCGGAAUUAAUAACAGCGUCGGAGCAGCGAGAGAAUAGGGCAGAGAAGUCAUCAUUGUUAGCGAGUAUGUAAUUGUGGACUUUGGACUUAAUGUCGAGUGAACGGACUUGGAGACGGUCGAUGAGGAGGCGGAGAUCGGGGGCGGAGAGCGGUGAAGAGUCGUCUAGAUCAUGUGACGAUAACAAAUCCCGGACGUCGAUUGAAUUGAAGAGUACAUCCAUCUGGAGGAGCACAGUGGUUCCCCGACGGGUGCCGGUGGUGUUGGUAGAAGGUUGUCUUUGCGUGGAGAUCAGGAAAGCAUACAAGUGUAGAAUUAGAGCCCAACCAAUUGGGCUUUUGUUAGUGGUAAUGGGCUGUAAGUAUUUAUAUUUGUUGAUUUAAAACUUAAAUUAGUGUAAUUUUAUAUAUCUUAUCUUAUAUUAUAUUAUAGGAAAUUGCGUAAGAUGGUUAACUAUCGGAUAGCAACACUCGCUCCAACACACAACUCUUUCUCCAUCAUCACUACAUGUAAUAUGGUGCGGGGAAAAUAUAUCCAACAAACGUUAAAUGACCGUUUUAACAUACAUAUUUCAUACGAGCAAACAUGAAGUGCACAAAUGUACGCUUUGAAUUUGUUGAGAAAUAUCCUUAAAGAAAGCUUUCAAAGACUUUUUUUGUAUUAUUACAAGUUGGAGAGGAAGAAUCCAAGGACUGUUACACAUAUAAAGAUAUGACAUGACAACAAAUUUUAAUAUUUUUUCCGUCGCUAUCGGUUGCGUGAUAAUAUUUCUUAUAUAAUCUAUUAAAUAUACGUGUAUUGGAUUGUAUGACUAAUCUAUUGAAUUAUUGUGUAGGUUUGAGCAUUUCAAAUAUGUUUAUGUCCUAUUAUUAUCAUUAACAGAACAUAUCUUAAAGGAAAAUACUUGGACAAUGUUCCUAGCAGUAGUCAUGGACAGUAAUAACUAAAUCCUCCCAAUAGCAUUUGGUGUUGGAAAAACUGAAAGUGGGGAUUCAUGGAUAUGAUUUAUAUCAAGACUCAAAGAAUGUAUUUAGGACAUGGAGCCUUUAGUUAUCAUAUCUGAUAGAGCCAAUUCCAUUGAAAUGAUAAAUCGUGUUUCCGAACACAAAUAACAGACUAUACUGUUGCCAUUUAUUGAUGAAUAUGAGAACAAAGAUCGGUAUAGUCAUCUUGGAAUCUCAUUCUUGUACAUGUGGGAAAUGGAAAUUGUCUGGUAUACCUUGUUCUUAUGCUAUGGCAAUAUUUAGGUAGUAUUUGGUACGCAGAACAAAAUUGGACUGAACUAAACAACACCUGUUCAAAUGAUGUUUGGCAUGGAUUGAACAAAAAGUCAAUGGGACAAAAACUUUGGUCAAUGAGACUAAAAUUGGUAAAUUUAGUCCCACCCAAAAAGUGGAACUGAGUGGGACAAAACAAAAUAUCCUUACUAAAACUAAAAUGCACUCUUCUUCUGUUCUCUUCUACCGUUCUUGUGCAAAUCCUUAAGAUCGAUAAUUUCACCCAUUGCCUCUUUCAAUCAAUCCCUUGUUGGUUGUACAUAUAAAUUUUCUUUCAACUCACCCUGUAUAAUUUAGACUUCUUCUUGGUCGUGAUUUACAUGAUUUUGGAUCCUUCAUUCUCUCUUCAAAAUCCAACAUCUUCUCGGCACAUGCUCUAUCCACAAGUUCACCUGGUACAUAAGAGAGCUGUUAAUCCAUCAAUUUCUUUCUAGGAAAUCUCGAAGCAUUUCUUUUCCCUCGAAUUUUCGUGCUUAAUUGUUCUAGAAAGUGGAUACUUGAUUGGAAUCUAUUCCAAAGGGAGAUGAUGUCCUAAAUUUAGAUUUAAGUUUUAAAAAGGGAAAGUAAGUUUUUAGAAGUAAAUAUGUUAAGAUGAAAAAGAAAGACGAUUUGUUUUUUUUUUUUUUUUUUUUUAAAAAUUUUCCAGUCACCUACUUAAUUCACACAUUGUUUUGUGAUUUAUUGAUAAAAUCACAGUAGCUUCUGCAAUUUGUUGUUAAAUCAUUCACACGUGUUGCAAUUGUAUGGUAUUUUUUUUCUUUCAAUUUGGGAUGUGGUGUUUUAUUGACAACUCACUCUUGUUUAAUAUAAACAUUUUAUAUAUUAUAGUUCACAGUUUGAUAUAUAUUUUUCUUUGAAUAAAGGUUUUAUUGGAUUUAUUUUAUCUUUGAUUGAAACAAUUCAAUGAAACAUUCAUGUUGAAUUAGCAAAGGAACAAACCCCACAUAAAAGUCACGAUUGAAACUUUUAUCAGCUUAAAUUUGGUUUUAUUUAAAUCAAGGGCAAUAUGAUAAUUUUAAUAUCUUUGUUCUGUUCUGUUAUAGUUUUACCAAAUGUUAUGUGGACUAUUUAUUAUGUUCGGUUCCAGUUCUCUCCCGUCCAGUCUACUUUUGUCCCACUACCAAACACUGCCUUAAGGAACUGAGAUAUGAGAUAUAAACACUGGUGUUUAAUUAUUAUACUAGUUUUUUUAGAGUAAAUUACACGAAUGGUCCCUAUGGUUUGGGGUAAUUUGCAUGUUUGGUCCCUAACUUAUUUUUUUAACUCGGAAGGUCCCUAUGGUUUGUUUUUGUUACGCGUUUGGUCCCUACUGUUUAUUUUUGUUACGCGUUUAGUCCCUGUAUUAUCUAAAAAGACUAUUAUUUAAAGAGAAAAAAAAUGAUGGGGUAGGUGAGGUAAUGUGAGGGGGUGGGAUUAGGGGUGUGUUUAUUUAAAUAAAUUAAAAAAAUCAAGGGCAUAAUAGUCUUUUUAGGUAAGAUAGGGGCCAACCGCGUAAUAAAAACAAACAGUAGGGACCUUCCGAGUUAAAAAAAUAAGUUAGGGACCAAACAUGCAAAUUACCCUAAACCAUAGGGACCAUUCGUGUAAUUUACUCUUUUUUUUAAUUAUAAUGUAAAGACCCAAAUUUUUUAAAAGAAAAUUUUCAUUUUUAAUUAGUCAAACACAUUUGCAUAAACCAUGAAACCCCAAACAUUGUUUUCAAAUCCACAUUCAUUACAACUUUAUUUAAAAACAUUAGUGUCCCGUAACGUAUCAAUGAGAGAGAGAGAGAGUGUGCACGUCGUGCCAUCACGCGUUGCCUUUGCUCUUGGGAUCUGAAGUACCUGAAACAAAUCCACAACCUGUAAGCUAAAUGCUUAAUGAGUCCCCAGAGCAUACCCACACAUAAACCACAUACAAGAUAGCAUACUAGCUAUCACAUAAAUCAUGCAUACAACAUAUAAAGAAGCCCUGGAAACCCUCUCGGGUCUUACAACUAGUGUCAUGGGAACCCUCACGUGGUCUUAGUCUACUGCUACGGGAACCCCCGGGGUCUUCCAUACAAAUUUCAUACUAACAUAACACAUCAUCAAUCGACAAUCCACAUAUCAUAGAAUGGGUCGGCCUUGGUGCCUUAGACCCAUUGGUAUGGUGAGGAGACUCACCUCUCGAAAGUUGAACUAGUAAGAUGAAGUCAAAUAUAUACCACACACUGCUCCUUCUCAAUUACCUAUAAUCAUCAAGUGAUUAACUUAACACCAUCCCAUAAAUAUUCUCAGAUCAACCCUGGUCAAAGUCAAGGUCAAGGUCAAAGUACACAGUCUAGGUCAACAGUCCAUGUUGACCUCGACUCGUCGAGUAUAACCAACCACUCAUUGAGUUCCUUGCUUAACUCGUCAAUCGAGUUCCUUAAUGUCCGCGACUUCAAACUCUCAACCACAAACCCCUGGCCGUAAACUCUUUGGCCAUAAACUCCUUGGCCGCAAACUCAUUGGCCGUAAACUCCUUGGCCAACUCGUCGAGUCGAUUAAAGGACUCGACGAGUUCCUUUAGUGCUUCUCGUUUUCGGCAUUUUCUAGUGGAACCUAGAGUCCCAAACUUCAAAUCUAGCCUUCCCUAGUGUAGAUGUCACGUAAAGUUGUAAAAUUUAUGUGCAUGCAAGGCCUCACAUGGACAUGACACCAAAACUAGUCUUCAUAUAAGGUUUUAAUGCACGGAAAGGGAUUGAAUUACCUAAAGGAAACAACUUUAUGUCAUUGGGACCUAAAGAGGUCCAGAUCUGUAACCAUGUCCUUGUGAAAGGUUGAGAUCUGAGUUUUGACCCCAUUUUGCACCAAAAAUGGUCAUUUAUUACAAAAAGAAGAGAACCAAGCAACUAGAUAUCAAGAUGGCGACUUUUUACCUUAGGAUGAUGGCCAAUACAGAGUAACUUCCAAAUCUACUGCUCCUCACGUUGUUCCUUCCUCUUCCAACUCUAGGAUCCUUCAAAAAUGCCCUAAAAUCACUCACAAACGCUCUUACUCUCACUCAAGGGUGUUUACAGUCGAAAACUACUUUCUGUAGGGAGAUAAGGUGCUAGAGGAGGCCACAAGGGUAGUUAAUGAUCCUUGUAUAGGGGGAAAACCCCGAAAUUAGGGUUUUCCCUUUACAUCCAACUCGCUGAGUCGGGCCUUCCGACUCGUCGAGUUUAAAUGCCCCUACUCGAUGAGUUGGACUCCCAACUCACCGAGUCUAUGCACCAAAAACCCUAAAUUUAACUAAAACAAAUAAUACCUGGAACAUGUGUUCAAAGUCGCCCCCACUUAAACUAGACUUCGUCCUCAAAGUCUGCUGACCCAAACAAAUCUAGGUAGUGCUCUCGCAUUUCCUCUUCCAGCUCCGAAGUCCAUUCGGAGCCCCUUCGAUGAUGCCAUUGCAACUUUAUCAGUCUUACUUCCUUAUUCCGAAGAACCUUGGUCUUCAUAUCAAGGAUCGCAAUGGGCUUCUCGAUAUAGUUCAGGCUCUCAUCCACUUGAAUAUCGCCCAAUGAAAUAACUACGGACUCGCCAAUGACACACUUCUGAAGAUGUGACACGUGGAAGGUAUUGUGAAUCUGACUAAGCUCCUCUCACAGAUCCAAGCGAUAUGCCACCUUGCCCACCCGGGCCGUGAUCCUGAACAGGCCUAUGAACCGAGGCCCCAGCUUGCCCCUCUUGUACCACCCAUAAAAUUAGUGCUAAUCUAAAAAUUUUAAAUCAUUUAAAAUCAUUCAAUUAUUACUAUUAGUUUUCAAAAUAGUUUAAACAUCAGAGUUCCCAAAAAUCAUAAUCAUCGAUAGAGGAAGUGUACGGUCACACCUUCGCUUCCCUGCGGUCAUCCGCUGAACUUGAAACAAUAAACUAAAACUGUAAGACCGAAAACUUAGUGAGUUACUGUCACAACUGGCAUUUUGCUAGGAAAUUCUAUUCCCAUAUAAACAUCAUCCAUUGUAAAAGGCUAUACUUACUAAACUCUAUUCUCAUUCAAAUACAUCUCAUAUGUUCAACUAAGGGAUGGAAACCCUAGAAAUCCCGACUCAAAUUCAUUAUGGACUAGGAUUCUUUUAUUGGGCCUAAGGGACCAAUAAGUCAUCAACUCAUCAAUCUAUAACAUUUUGGGCCAUUUGGGCCUAGAAUGAUUCAUUCUACCUCUAAAUGGGCCUUAUUGGUCCAUAACAACUCCAAUUAACCUUAAUGGACUUUAGAACCCAUUCUUUUAUACUAUUGGGCCGUGAGAUACCCUAAAGGCCCAAUGGGUCGAAAGAUGUUAUGAUUAGGCUCCAAAAAUCCUAACUAAAGUUUAAUGGGCUCAAGCUAUUCCAAUUCCUAUCUUAUUGGCCCAAAAUUUCGGCCCAACACCAUUUAACAAAAAAAAGGAAAACAAAAUGAAAUAGGGGUUGACUUUUGGAUGUGCCACCUCAAUAUUGCAUGGUGGUCAUCCAUGCCAAAUACCCACCAUGCAAACUUAUCAAAUAUCUCUAUUAUAUUCUCUCUAUUCACGGCCAAACACUCAUCCCACCAUCCUCAUUUUUCUUUUAAACACUCUCAUACACUCUCAAGAACAUCCUUUCCUUCCACCCAAAAUUUCGAAGAUCUAGGGUGUUUUCAAGAGAAUUCUUCACCAAAAUCAUCAUCCUUGGUAAGUUUUUGCUUAGAUCCAUGGUCUAGUCUCUUGAUUACUUCAAAAAUCUCCUCUUAACUCAUGAAAUUUCGUGAUCUUGCAUCUUGGAACCCAUCUAAGCUCAAAAACCUCUCAAGAAGCUUGCUAGGGCCAAGAAUCACAUCAUCUUCUUCCAUUUCUUCUUCAAACCAAGAACAACAAAGCAAGGUGAGUUCAUACCCCCUUGUUUUCGGUUUUUACUUGUUUUUGGGGGAGAAUACAANCAAGGUGAGUUCAUACCCCUUGUUUUCUGUUUUUAUAUGAUUUUUGGGGGAGAAUACAAGUUGAUUUGUGUAGAUCUAUGUGUAUAUGCAUGACUAUGUGUGUUUUCCAUGAAUUAUUUGGUGAUUAUGUGUUGAUUUCUUCACUAAUCUAAAAAUAUGUUAAGAAACUUGAAGUUUAUCACUAGGAUCUUCAUAUGAAUCUUGAGAAAAGUAUGUUUUAUCACAAGUAUUACAUGUAAACAUGUAGAUCUGGGAUUUGUAUACUUGAUAUAGCAAAAAUAAGUGUUGUGUUCAAAGAUCUAUAAACUAAACUCACAAAACAGCCCUUGACAGAAAACUUUUGGUCCAAUCUCGGACUGUUUUGACCAUCCAAAUGGAAGUAUUUUUCAAAAAUGUUUUACAUGGAUAAAGUUCAGAUUUAUACCUUUAAAAUGACUACUCUCACGUUUUCAUACGAUUUUUCUACAAUUUUUGGCGAAUUUUACAAAACUGCCUAUCAUAUUUGAAAUAAUUUCGGACCAACCUGUGAAGAUGAGUAAUUUCACACUAGUUUGAAGCCAUCAAAAAUUAUGAGAAAAAUUGUGAACAAAGUAGACAAAAUUUCCAAACUUCCAAAAUUUACGGAUCCAGAUUUCGACUUACGAUGAAUUUUCUACAAAUUUUCUAAAAACUAGUUCGGAAAAGCCAAAAACCAGAAAAAUAUGUAUUUUCACAAAACCAAGCCAAAAAUGAUAUUUUUGACAAAAAUGGGUUUAAAAUGCUAUUUUUAUCACAAAGUAGUCAUCAACACAAGUUUUUAACAAAAUUGGAGAUUAAAGUGUUAUUCUUACAAAAAUUGGGCCUUAAUUGUAAAUUUUUGGCUUAUUGGGCCAAGAAUGUCAUUUUUACAAAAAGUGGGCUUUAGAUAUCAAUUAUGUAAAUAAUCAAGCUAAAAUAAACAAAACAAUAACAAACGGGUUAAAAACGACAUUCAUAUCCUUAUUGGGCCUGGAAAUAAUAUACAUGUUUAGUGGGCCUUAGUGUCCUUUUACAUGUAUAUUGGGCUCGAGAUAGGUAUUCAUAUCCUUAUUGGGCCUGGAAAUAAUAUACUUGUUUAGUGGGCCUUAGUGUCCUUUUACAUGUAUAUUGGGCUUAGGAUAGACAUUCACAUUCCUUUUGAGCCUGGAAAUAAUAGACACGUAUAGUGGGCCUUAGUGGUCCACUUACAUGUUUAUUGGGCCUAGGAAUGGGUUUUAUAUGCGUUAUUCUUUUUAUGCUAUUUUAGUGGAUACUAUUUGCAUGCUAUUUGGGCCUAUAAAUACCUUACAUGUGAAAUGGGCCUUAGUUGUCCUUUCACAUAUAUUUUGGGCCCAUGUUAUAUAAUCUCAUUCCCUUUAGGUCUUGAAAUGAUUUACAUGUUUAGUGAUGCCUUAGUGGUUCACUUACAUGGAUCAUUGGACCUAGAAUGAGUUUAUACAUUUUUCUUCGCGUAAAUUCGAUUAAGGAUCUAGCGAGUUUUUAUCGGUUGGCACCUAUUAAGUGUACGAUCGUAGCCUGUAGUUAUAACCAGAGUCUCUUGAAGGGAGAGCGGGGAUUUGUGUAUAGAUCUAUACGGGGAUGACACCCCACACCUGAGCUGUUCGCUACAGUUAGACUAACUCAGUCUAGGGUGACAAAAACCUUAUUCUAUAUUCCGUCGGCGUCCAACGAUGCCAAGACAGGUGAAAUUGUCAUAAAUUAGUAUGGUUAUGAUGGCUCGCUUAGAGGAAUUAACGUUAUGAAGUUUACGGAAGACCUUUCUAUAUAGGCAACAUCGGGUUGUCUAGGAACAUUCUCGUUACAUGCUCUUACAUUCUCUCUCUACAAUCUAUUUACCUUUUUAGUCAGAUAACAAUAACAUACAUGCAUUAAUACAAGAUCUAACACAAACACACUAAACAGUUUUCAGAAAAUAUCGGAUUUUCUGGUGGUUUUCAAAGUUAUACAAAUCAUUUUCACAAACAUGCUUAUGAACUCACCAACAUUUUUAUGUUGACCAUUUUCAAAAUAACUUGUAUUCUCAGGAAAUCGUUGAAGCGGGAUGAACAAAACAAACUAAUGGAUAUUGUGUUAUAUUUUGAUUCAUCAUACUCUUACUAUCUUGGCAUGUAAUAUUCAAAUAGAAUACUCGAUGUAAACAAUGAAUGUUGUAAUAUUACAUGUGUGAUGAUGAUGAUGUUAUGUUUCAAUUAUAUUCACUGUAAUGAUAUUUCAAGAUGAAGUCACGCACAAGCCCCCGGACGUUUCCACCGUCUGGUUCGGGGGUGUGACAGAUUGGUAUCAGAGCAUUGUUUAUAGUGAACUAGCAUAUCUAAUCAUACAUGAUAUGCAACUAUAAAUAAAAUGGGACUAAACAACUCUGAACAUAAUAAUUUCAAAUACAUACCUUUGUGUGCAUUUUAGAAUGAUAACACAACAAGAAUAGUAAAAGUCUUUGGAGGAUUUGAACAUCACUAUUAAACUCGGACAGUUAUGUAGUCGUAUUGGGGGUGAAUGUAACCGGAUCAACUACAUUCAUUCAAAAUACGACCAACAUGUGUUCGGGAGUAAUUGUGAUGGGCAAUGAAUCAAAAACUUACCAUUUAAUUAUCCAAAGAGCUUAUAGAGCCAAACCUAAACAAAAUUAAAUUACUAUAGGAGUAAUUGGUAUGCUAAUUGUUUCUAGUAUUUAUACCCCCUUCGUGCAAUACACUAUAGACGAGUAUCGUUAGCCAGGAAACCCCUAUCUCCCUAGUCAGGGAAUAGUAGGGUGGCUCGACUCAGAGGAGGAACCACAGGAGGAACACGAAGUAGAACUUGCAGGUGAACCCGCCGAGUCAAUAGUGGACCUCGAAGAGGAAGAGCCAGAGGGCAAUGAUGAUGAUGAAUCAGAUACAAAAUCUGAUGACAUCAAUCCUCCAUGUAAAGCCAGAGUACCGACAUAUCGUGUGGGUCCCGGUGGCCCCAUGCCCCUUAGGCACAUGAUAUUUAGAGAUAGAGUCACCAGCAGGGGAUACGACCACACUACGGUAGGAACUGAGGUCUCUUCGAUCUUAGUCGUAGAGGACCAGCUGACCGGGCCCUCCCAGUCAUGGUCCGGAGCACCUGAGGUAUGGAUAGCCAAGCUCAGGGACACCCCAAAUCAUCCGGAACAAAUGCGGUUUGCUAUUGAGAGAGACAAGAGACAAACAAAGGAAGUGAACGGAGACUCCCGAGCAAGACAGUUAGUGUGAGAAGUAAGACUACAAGAUACCGAACAACAAGUAGCUCAUCUCCGAGGAGCAUCCACUUCAUCAGCACCACCACCAGACACUUCCUGCCACAAUUAGGAUCAGCCUUUUCUACUUCCCCCUACUAUUCGACAUGACUCUCUUUCAUGUACUAAGAUAGUACUUACCACUGGAACAAUUAUGUGCUAUCUUUAUUUCAUAUUACCACAUAGACUCAAUUAUAUGCACAAGCGAACCCUCAAAACCGCUAGAUACUUAAGGGUCUCGAAACCAAAACAACCUAUAUACUCUAAGGAUAGACGUGACGAUCGUGCCAAAUCUGUGAUUACCUACUACCACAAAUACAUCAUAGGGAUGUAGAUGGAAGCAGUAAGAAUUAUACAACAAGAUGCAAAAUUUAUAGAGUACAACUAGGAAUGACGAUCAUUACUUACGAUCUGGAUUAUCAACGUGCAUCAGGAAAAUGCCAUCCCGCAAGAAUAACAAGCGCACCUGCGAGACACCGUUCCUGCAGAUGAACUCUGCUACAUUCCAAGCUGCUGUAACGGCGACAGUAACCGUUGCGAUGGCGCAAAUCAAUGCAAACAACCCCAAUGGAGGCGGGAAUAACAUUGACAACUCCAUCCAAAGGAACGAACAUGGAAACCAACAAGUGACAACCAAUCAAGGAACUCCAAACCCCAAGCUUAAGAGCAGGAAGCUGAGGUCUGGAAGUAAGAAAAAGGGACAACCCACUCAAGGGUUCUCAAGGAAGCAACAUGUUGUUGCUGUUCAUGCGACCAUGACCCCUAUUACACCAACAACCAGGAGACCAUAUGUUGGAAGCCUUCCAAAAUGCAACCAGUGCAAAUUCCAUCAUAACGGAGCCUGCCGGGAGAUGUAUUGUACGAAAUGCAACCGAAAGAAUCACACCGCCAAAUUCUGUAGAACUUAUCCAUGCCAAAAUCGCCAGCCAAACAAAAACGACAACAGUCGCAACAACCCUAACAACAACACCAAUGAUGAGACCAGUCACACCCGCUAUGGGUAUGGAGGAACCGGUCACUUCAGGCGCAAUUGCCCAAGGAUAACAAUCAAGGAGCAGAAGGAUCGGAAAUGGUCCUGACCUUGGGUCAAGGCGAAGCAGUCCAAGACCCAACGAUUGUUAUUGGUACGUUCCCACUUAACAACUCUUUCGNNNNNNNNNNNNNNNNNNNNNNNNNNNNNNNNNNNNNNNNNNNNNNNNNNNNNNNNNNNNNNNNNNNNNNNNNNNNNNNNNNNNNNNNNNNNNNNNNNNNNNNNNNNNNNNNNNNNNNNNNNNNNNNNNNNNNNNNNNNNNNNNNNNNNNNNNNNNNNNNNUAAAUUUAAUGCCAGUAAAUAUUAGGAGUUUUAAUGUGAUAAUUGUCAUGGUUGGGUUAAGCCCCCACCGUGCUGAUACUAUGUGUCGCGAGAGGGCCGUUUGCCUUCACCUUCCUAAUCACGAAACUCUGAUAACCCAUGGUGAUAAACCUAGCGUCAAUCCUCGUCCUAUCUCGUGCAUCAAGGCACAGAAGUGCCUGCACCAGAAGAACUACGUUUUCCUUGCUCAAGUUGUGGACAAGACCAAGGAAGAAGUAAGCAUACAAGGUAUUCAGGUAGCAUGUGAUUUUACGAUUGUAUUUCCUGAAGAACUUCCGGGAAUACCUCCAGAAAGACAGGUAGAAUUUCAAAUUGACCUAAUGCCGGGAACCACAUCAAUUGCCAAUUCGCCCUAUAGGUUGACUCCCGCCGAAAAUUCACAAGUUAUCCAGUCAAUUGAGAAGAAUUGUUGCGCAAAGGAUCCAUCGGACCAAGCUUCUCACCCUGGAGAGCUCCCGUCUUGCUCUUCAAGAAGACGGAUCCUUCCGAAGGUACAUCAAUUUUAGGAAAUUGAAUAAACUCCCUAUCAAAAAUCAAUACCCACUUCCUCGGACUGACGAUCUAUUUGGCCAGCUCCAAGGAGCUAGUUAUAACCAGAGUCUCUUGAAGGGAGAGCGGGGAUUUGUGUAUAGAUCUAUACGGGGAUGACACCCCACACCUGAGCUGUUCGCUACAGUUAGACUAACUCAGUCUAGGGUGACAAAAACCUUAUUCUAUAUUCCGUCGGCGUCCAACGAUGCCAAGACAGGUGAAAUUGUCAUAAAUUAGUAUGGUUAUGAUGGCUCGCUUAGAGGAAUUAACGUUAUGAAGUUUACGGAAGACCUUUCUAUAUAGGCAACAUCGGGUUGUCUAGGAACAUUCUCGUUACAUGCUCUUACAUUCUCUCUCUACAAUCUAUUUACCUUUUUAGUCAGAUAACAAUAACAUACAUGCAUUAAUACAAGAUCUAACACAAACACACUAAACAGUUUUCAGAAAAUAUCGGAUUUUCUGGUGGUUUUCAAAGUUAUACAAAUCAUUUUCACAAACAUGCUUAUGAACUCACCAACAUUUUUAUGUUGACCAUUUUCAAAAUAACUUGUAUUCUCAGGAAAUCGUUGAAGCGGGAUGAACAAAACAAACUAAUGGAUAUUGUGUUAUAUUUUGAUUCAUCAUACUCUUACUAUCUUGGCAUGUAAUAUUCAAAUAGAAUACUCGAUGUAAACAAUGAAUGUUGUAAUAUUACAUGUGUGAUGAUGAUGAUGUUAUGUUUCAAUUAUAUUCACUGUAAUGAUAUUUCAAGAUGAAGUCACGCACAAGCCCCCGGACGUUUCCGUCGUCUGGUUCGGUGGUGUGACAGUUACCCCAAAAUACCAAUACCACACAGAUAACCAUAUCAUGUAAACAUAUAAGAAACAGAACAACCAUGCAUCUCGAGUCUACAGUGUGAUUAGGUUGCCCGCACUGGGCCUUCAGUUCACUUGAAAUCAACGAAGCUAUACAUAAAACAAUAAAAUUUAAAAUGGAUGAAAUGUACGAAAGUAUAAACUCAACAGUUUCCCAACAUCAAUAUUUCAUUUAAACAUGAAACAGUUGGUUUACAUCAAACUAUUUACAAAAGAAACCUCACUACAAUCACACUCAACUCUCUAAUGAUCAUUCAAGAACAAAAUGAUACAAGAUCUAAAGAAAAUGAUCUUAAAACCCUAAUAGAAAGCUUUAAAUUGGAGGAACUCUGCGAGUAAGAAAACAACAAGAAUAAUAUCUGCCCUAAAUGAACUGCAACUUCAACAUUAAAUACAUUGGGGCAUAAAACCAGAUUCGGGUUAAGCAACCCGCGUAUUCAUCCUUACAUGCAUUAUCAAAAUAUACCACAACACCCCUCUACAACCAAUAAAUAACAUAAUGUGACCAAAAUAACAAAAUACCUCAAAUGAUAAGUUUGCAACUAAUAACACUUUUUAAGACCCCCUCUCAAACUUAUCAUUUGAAGACAUACUCAUUUUCCAGAAAAAAAGUUUAAAAGUCCAAGUCUUUUUGAGAAGAAUUCAUGUUGAAAAGAAGUUAAUGAUUUAGUUAAAAUAUCUGCAUUUUGAUUAGAAGAAUCAAUCUUAACCAACUUCAAAAUACCACUUUCAAUUUUUUCUCUCACAAAAUAAACAUCUAUUUCAAGAUGUUUUGUCUUCUCAUGAAAUACAGGAUUUAAAGCUAAUUUAAUAGCAGAUUCAUUAUCAUAAAACAAUUUAACAGGAGUUAAGUUUUUAAAACCAAGAUCAUUUAAAGCUUUUAAAACCCACAACACUUCACAUGUUACAGAACCCAAAGCACGAUAUUCAGAUUCAAUUGAGGAUCUGGAUACUGUGAUUUGUUUCUUACUCUUCCAAGAAAUAAGUGAACUACCUAAAUAUACCAAAUAUCCAGACACAGACCUUCUAGUUGAGAAACACUUAGCCCAAUCAGCAUCCACAUAACCAAUAACAUCAAAAACAUUAGAUUUAGAAAAUACCACACCUUUUCCAGGACAUUCUUUUAAGUAUCUUGAUAAUCUGAAAGCAACAUUUAGAUGUGAUUUCCUGGGCUUAUGCAUAAAUUGACUUAACAGUUGAACAACAUAACUAAUAUUAGGUCUAGUAACAGUUAAAUAAAUCAGUUUCCCUAUAAGUUUUUGAAAUUCAGUUAUAUUACUUACAAGAUCUGAAUUAUCAUCACAAUCUCUAUUAAACACAAAAUUAACUUCCAAAGGAGUUUUAAUAGGCUUACAGCCCAGCAUACCAAACUCAUGUAAUAAUUCUAAACAAUACUUCCUUUGAUUUAGGCAAACACCACUACCAGUAGAUAAAACUUCAAUUCCCAAAAAAUACUUCAAUAAACCUAAAUCUUUUAUUCUAAAUUGUGAUUUAAAAAACAAUUUAACAUUUUCAAUUUCUACACUGCUAUUAUUAGUUAGAAUUUUAUCAUCUACGUACACAAGUAAAAUGACAAUGGUGUUAUUUUUAAUUCGAACAAAUAAAGAAUAAUCAUUUAUGCUUUGAACAAAACCAAAACUUGACAGAGAUGAACACAAUUUUUCAUUCCACUUUCGUGGAGCCUGCUUUAACCCAUACAAAGACUUAACAAGCUUACACGCUCUACUAUCAUUUUUAGUAUGAUAACCUUCAGGCAAAGUCAUAUAAACAUCUUCAAUUAAAUCACCAUAUAAAAAAGCAUUAUUAACAUCUAAUUGAUAGAGAGGCCAAGAAUUAUUAACAGCCACACAAAUAACAAUUCUAACAGUAACAGUCUUUGCAACAGGAGAAAAAGUUUCUUUGUAAUCAAUCCCUUCUCUUUGAUUAUAACCUUUAGCAAUUAGUCUAGCUUUAUAUCUCUCAACCUCACCAUUUGAUUUGUACUUAAUUUUAUAAAUCCAAUGACAACCAAUGGGUUUUCUGUCUUUGGGAAGCUCAACAAUAUCCCAAGUAUGGUUUCUAUAUAAGGCUUCCAUCUCCCCAUUCAUGGCUUUGAUCCAGUUUGGAUCAGUAGAAGCUUCUGAAUAAGUACUAGGUUCAAAUGUUUUAUUAAUAUUAGACACAAAACAUUUACUAUCACUUGUUAACAAAGAAUAAUUCACAGAUUUUUCUAAUCAUGUGAGAACUUUCCACAACAAAGUCAUUAAAUCUUGUUGGUAAAUGAACAUUUCUACCAGAUUGAGUAACACCUAAUAAGUGAUCAUCAGAAGGAAUAUUUUGUUCUAAAAUACUAUCGUCAGCCAAAGUUGAUGAACUAGGAACAUCCACAACAUUCUGUUGCACACGUGCCUUGUCACUCUGGUUGCUGACCUCAUCAUUAGGGGUCUCAGCCAGGUUAUGAACUGCUCUAGUACCUUCAGACUGAAGGGUUAUUCCUAAGUCACCCAAACUAUUGUUUUCUUGAAGAGAACUAGAUAACUGAGGCUCAUCAUAGGAAAAUGGGUCACUUGGAUGAUACAAACUAUUAGUUCUGUCACUAACCAAAGGUUUAAGCUUGAACAGAAAUACAGUUUCAUAAGAUUUGACAUCCCUGGAAACAAAGACAAAAUUUGAAUCAAGACUUAAAACUUUAUAACCCUUUUGUUCCAAAGAAUAACCAAGUAAGACACAUUUUUUAGCACGUUCAGAAAAUUUUUCAGGAUUAUUUAGUUUUGUUGCAAAACAAAGACAACCAAAAACACGAAGUUUAUCAAAACUAGGAACAGAUUUAUAAACAAGUUUAUAAGGAGAGGCUCCAUUUAAUACAGAAGUGGGAGUUCUAUUAAUCAAAAAAACUGCUGUUAAAAUAGAAUCACCCCAAAAAGUCAAUGGCAGUCCUGACUGAAACAUUAGAGACCUAGCUACAUUUAGAAUAUGUCUAUGUUUUCUUUCAACCACCCCAUUUUGUUGAGGUGUAUGAACACAAGAAGUUUGAUUAAUAACACCUCUAUUUUCAAAAAAAACUUUUCAUGUUAUGAUUCAAAAACUCAGUCCCAUUAUCGGACCUAACCUUUUUAAUAUUAACUUCAAACUGAUUUAACAAAAUAUUAAAGAAUGUAGUAACACAAGAAAAUACUUCACUUUUAGACUUAAGCAAGUAAAUCCAAGUUGCCCUAGUGAAAUCAUCCAUUAUAGUAAGAAAGAACUUAUAACCUUUUGAAGUGAUCACUCUAUAGGGACCCCACACAUCUAGAUGAAUAAGUUCACCUAAACAAGAAGUAACAUGCUGACUAAUUGGAAAGGAACUCCUUGUUUGUUUAGCUUUAUGGCAAACAUCACAUGGAGGUAAGUACUCAUUUCCAAUUUAAGAUGAGUUUUUAAUGAAUUCAGAGCUUGAUCAGGAGGAUGACCAAGUCUACUAUGCCAUGUAAAUUUAGAAACAUAACAUACACCAAAAUUAGAGCUAAAGGAAUUACCAGAAGGUACACUAUCAACAUAAUAGAGUCCUCCAGAUUCACUACCAUUCCCCACCAUCUCCUUUGAGUGUAAAUCUUGAAUUUUACAACUAUGUUCAUUAAACACAACCUCACACUUAUUAUCUUUACAAACCUUGUGAACUGACAUUAGAUUUACAUUAAACUUAGGAACAACAAACACAUCAAAAAGAGUUAAGGAGUUUGAAAUAUUUAAGUUUCCAAUUUUUUCUAUUUAGCACAAGUUCCAUUAGGAUGAAUAACAAGAAGAUUAAGCUUAGAUACAUCCACUGUAUCAUGCAAGAGAGAUUCAGAUGCUAUCAUAUGUUGACUAGCACCAGAAUCAAGAAUCCAUUUAUUACCAUUAUAAGAUGAAUUACAAACAUUAAACAAGCAAGUACCUGUCAUAUUAGAACUGACAUAUGCUUCCUCAUUUGACUUUCUUUCACCUAUCAGACUAAGAAACUUGGCAUAUUGAUCCUUAGUAAGUUGAUGAAAUUCAGACUCUCCAGGAUCAGAUGAUACAGGAGUAACAACAAAUGAAUUUGCAUUAAAACUUUUAGCUUGACUAUUUUGAUUAACAUCACUCCUGGGUUUAUAAUCCUUUGGGUACCCAAUUAGCUUAUAGCAUUUUUCAAUUGUAUAUCCUUUUAAUCCACAAUUCUUACACUGAAUAGCUGAACCUUCACUUUUAUUACUAGAAUUACCAGAAAAUUUAUUAUUGAACUUACUAUUAAAAGCACUAGGUUGAUUCUUGGGACCAGAUUGAGAGUCAUUAGAAAGGGAUCCAUUCCUUUGAAGAGACUCUUCACGAGAUAUGAUUGAAAAAGCAGUUUUAACAUUAGGAAGUGGAUCCAUAAGCAAUAUAUGACUCUUAACUUGGUUAUAAGAGUCAUCCAAACCACUAAGAAAUUGCAUGAGUUUCAUUAAUUUAGAGUGAUCAUUUAGUUUAAAAACAGCCUCACAUGUACAUUCUGUAAGACUGAUUAAGCCAUCAAACUCCUUACACAAGGCAUCGAGUUUAUUAAAGUAAUCAGAAACAGAUAUACCACUUUGUUUUAAAGAAUUAAUUCUUUGAUGAACAUUAAAAACUACAUAUCCAUCAGCUUUAUUAUAAGUUUCAAAUAAAUUUUCCCAAAUUUCUUGAGCAUUAUCAGAAUAAGCAUGACUAGCAUAUAUUGAAUCACUAAUAUAAGACAACAACCAAGAACACACAACAACAUUUUCCCUUUCCCAUUUUGAUUCUUUAUGUUUUUCAACUUUAUCCUUUUUAAAAGUGCCAUCAACAAACCCUAGUUUGUUUCUAGCCUUAAGGGCUCUAGACAUAGAACUCCUCCAAAUACGAAAAUUUUCAUUUCCAGUUAGUUUCACAGUAACAUUAGUUGUAGUUGCAUUAUCAGAAGGUUGGACAUAGAGAGGAUCAUCAAAAUUAAUUGAAUCAUCCUUUCUACUUCCUCCUGGAGGAUCAGUUGAACCAACCAUACAAAAGGAAGGAACAACAAGUCACAAACAAAGCUCAAGAGAGAACAACAAUAAGUAAACAACAGAGUAAACAGCUAGUCAGUCAAGAACAACCAAACAACAGACUCAUGUAUUGACAUAAAGUCCAGAUGGUCACCACGUUUGUCGGGGCCCAAGACAAUCAAUACAGAGUCAACAAAACAAUAAGAACAAAACAAAUAAGAAUAACUGGUGUACACAAGACAACCAGGAUCUCCCAAUCACAGAUAUGAAAAAGAGUGAAAAAAAGGAACAAGAAACCCCUCACAAUGCUAUUAAGACGAAGCAAUCAAGGGACCGACUCUAUCUGUCCGUUCUCUACUUAGGAUUUAUCGGUGAUGAACUCCGACCCCUAGAGAGUUAUUUCAGACAAAUAGAUUAAUCGACUGAAGUUCAGCGGAUUCCAGUUCAACAAUUGUUCAAAGACCGAUUUUGUUUAUGCUUUGUUUAAAAAUCAGAGUAACAUUUUAAAUAAAAGUGUUGCGGAAUUUGUCCCAAAACAAAAUAUGAUAAAGUUUUAUCAAAAGCAUUUCCAAAGGAAUAUAUUUCAUUAAAAGACUCGGGAUGUCAUGUUCGAUACAGAUCAAAAGCAUAAAUAGUACAAUAUAAGCUUUACUACAUUAUUUCAUAUCUACAGGCCUAUAUCCGUAAUCCCUCAUCCAAGACAUCUCAUCUAUGCUCAUGCGUCACUACCUGUAAUACAAGAAACUGAGUGGGUCAGGCUUGGGAGCCUGGUGAGCACAUAGGGUUUUCAACCCACAAUAAAUAAGUUUAUUAAUUUCAUCAAUCAACGAUAACCCGAUUACCCGUUCCCGUUCUCCUCACAUUACGUCCCUAAACACCUAUUAUAAGGGACCUAUCCUAAGGAUCAUCAUCGGGAUGGACACUACUGCUAAGGGGAUUCCUCAGCAAUAAAUGUCCUAAAGGCAACCAUGUGGGGGAUGGAGUACACCGGUGAACACAUCGUUCACAAACACCUACAGGUUGCGAGCGCUGCUAGUGUUCCACUGGACUGUCUAGAAGAGUCCGUGGUCGUCAUCCAUACUCCGCUAGAUGACAGAAUCAACAACAUCAACAUCGAGGCCUCUCAUCAUUUUAUCACACAUAACCUAUUAAAUCUACCCAUGUUUUAUCCCAACAUUUUCGUAGAUAUAAAAUACAUAUACAGUUUAAAUCAUGUAUAACAAUGUUCAUCCAGCAUAGAUAGCAAGUAUUCAGAUAAUAUGCUCACAUAGCACGCAAUUUAUAUAAAAUACUUCAUAUCUAUGUGUAAGCUGAAAGUAACUAUGCACUCACUUGAAAGGUGGUGACUCAGCACUCGGACAACGCUUCGAUACUCUUAAAACAAUUUUCCUUCGAUAAAACCUAGUAUCAAUACCACUAAAGUUUAAUCUAACGAUAACCGCGACAAAUUAAUAGUCUGACUAUUAUUAUUAUUAUAUAAGUGUUAAAUAACACUCAAUAUAACUCAUAAUAAUAGCCCAAAUAAUUAUUUCAAGGACCUAAUAACAUUCCUAUAAUUAUUUGAAAGCUAUAUUAAAAAUUGCAUAAGCGUAUCUCACUUACAACGGAUUUUAAAGAAAACCGGAACUUUAUUUGGAGCAGCGUUUCGAAACCGAAAGACCCUUUUUCUCGGGACUCCGGGAGCCUAGGGUCUUCCCUCGGGUGCUAAGGGUUUUAUCUAGGGCUUAGGAUGGUUUAGAACUCUUAGAGAGAGAAAUAUUGUAGAGAUAGAAUGAGAAAAUGUGAGAAAAAUCCGGAGACCCUCGCCCCCUUUUAUAGCCUGCGAGCCUCGGACGUAUGCUGGGCGUAGUCAUCGGAUAAAGGUUGCCAGCCGAAGCCAACUGUCUUGCACUCGGAGCGGAGAAGAGCGAGGGUACGUGGGGCGUAGGCGAAGCGACGUGUCGCAAAUCCGAAGCGAAGCGUGAUCAGCAAGCGACGACCCUGAUUGAGCCAUGUCAUCACCCUCGCAACAGAUUUCGCAAAUUCAUUUUCCGACUUCUAAAAAUCAUAACUUUCGCAUACAAGCUCCAUUUUCGACGUUCUUUAUAUCCACGCGAAGGUGGGAAUGUACUUUACAACUUUCGCUUAGACUCUGUUGGCUAAUUUUGAAUCGAUUUUAAAUUUUAUAUUAUUAACAGGCCGGGACAGGAUUGGUCCGUUAAAUCCUCAUAACUUCUUCAUCCUACGUCCAUUUUCGCCCAUCUUUUUCUCGUUAUGCUACUCUUAAUGAGAUCUUCGAUUCUCGUUUAGGUCGUGUCGGCUAAAAAUCACUCGAUCUAAUAUUCGAAUUUCGGGCUAUACACUGCUAAGCCGAAACUUCGAAAAAUCAUAACUUCUUCAUACGAAGUCAGAUUUGGGCGUUCUUUUCAUCGACGNCUACGACUUUAGUUUAGAUUGCUAAGGCUAUAUCUUGCUCUAUCGUAAAUUCGCUAUUUACGAUUCCCGGUAUCGUGUCGGUUCUGUUGCGAAACUUUGACGGGUCAUAACUUCUUCGUUAUAACUCGGAUUUCGGCGUUCUUUAUAUCCCCGGAAUCCUAGUUUCAACCACUACAAAUUUAUAUAAAGAUAUCAGACUUAUCUCUUACUUUAAUUUUGACGCUUAUUUUUAUUCUUUAUUAAUUAUACAUUUAUAAUUAAAUAAUAAACACAUAAAUACACACAAUUCACAUAAUACUCAAAUAUUUUAUCUUUAUUACUUCAAAAAGAGUUACAAUAGUUGACCUAGACUAUUACAUCGUCAAAAAUACUUAGCCCUGAAACCCGGGCGUUACAAGUGACCCUGCAAGAAACCACAGAAACACUCACAGUACCAGGACCAUAAAAAACAAAUAUAAGAUCCGCUAAAAGAAAACCCUAAAUCGAAACAAACAACUGAAACAAAUCAGUUUUAGUAAGAGAUCCAAAAGAGUUAUAAAACCUUUUAGAUCUAUGACAAUAGGUAAAGAAGAAAAUAGAAUAAAGGAUUAGAAACAACCUUUUAUGACAUCUUCAGAAGAUAAAAAACCUCCGAUGAACACCGACGAAGACGGCGAUGUUUGAUGAACACCAACGACGAAGACGACGAACCCUAACGCUUUGAUACCAUGUACGAAAGUAUAAACUCAACAGUUUCCCAUCAUCAACAUUUCAUUUAAACAUGAAACAGUUGGUUUACAUCAAACUAUUUAUAAAAGAAACCUCACUACAAUCACACUCAACUCUCUAAUGAUCAUUCAAAAACAAACUGAUACAAGAUCUAAAGAAAAUGAUCUUAAAACCCUAAUAGAAAGCCCUAAAUUGGAGAGAACUCUGCGAGUGAGAAAACAACAAGAAUAAUAUCUGCCCUAAAUUAACUGCAACUUCAACAUUAAAUACAUCAGGGCAUAAAACCGGAUUCGAGUUAAGCAACCUGCGUAUUCAUCCUUACCUGCAUUAUCAAAAUAUACCACAACACCCCUCUACAACCAAUAAAUAACAGAAUAUGACCAAAAUAACAAAAUACCUCAAAUGAUAAGUUUGCAACUAAUAACACCUUUUAACGUGAAAUCAAGAAUGAGCUUUUAGAACAUAUAAUUACGUAACAAUUACCAAUUAUUUCAAAAAACAAUAAAUACUUCAAUAUAAAAUCUAUCAUUGUAUUUCUUAAUCACAGCAAUGCAUAUGUAUUGGGCUUUCUUAAUUUCAAUAAGAUAGAGUUUUGAAUAUUAUAAUUUAAUAAAUAAAUACUUUAAAGGUAACACUAUAUACAAUUUAAACUAAUUACUCAAUACAACUCAAGAGUUUUUUAAAAUUAUGGUUAUUAAAUGAUAUUUAUGAUGUAUAUAUGGUUCACAAACAUAUGGUGAAAACCUAUCUUUUAAAGAUUUAACCACUCAAAUAUUUUAUAACUUAUAUAUGUUUUAUAACUUAUAUAUUAUAUUUAAUAAUCACUUAAUGUAAGUUUAGUAUAAAUAAUUUAAUCUCCUCAAAGGUUAUAUUAAAUUUUUGCGCAAAGCACGUAUACGUCUAGUAUGAAAAAUAAUAUUAACGGACAUCCAAAUUAAGGGUGGGUGACUCCUGAUUCACCAAAAGGCCAUCUAAUGUUGUCCGAGCCGCCUCUUUCUAUUCCUGUUGGUUUGGUUUUCUGACCUUUCUUCACCCAAUCCAAACCAAAAUGACAAAACACGAGAUGUGAUGAGGAGAUUUAUAUUAUAUAUAUACUAGUCCAUGGUUUCCUUCAUUGUAUAUAUAUACACACACACGUAUAUAUAAGUGUUGAUUAAGGCAACCUUGUGUGUGUCUCACUUUUCUCAGGCAUACACAAGCAACUGGGAAACGGAUCAACGACUAAAGCCAAGCUUCUCCCAACCAAAUAUAUGGCGACCUCAGUCGAAAACCGCAACUUCCGCCACGAGCUUGGUGUAUCCGCCGCUGGUGCAGUGCGUUCCGAGUCACCCAUCCAUGGAUUCAACUAUCCAGCUGUUGCUAGAGAGUUUAUGACGCCUAAGAAGCUUCCCCCUGAAACUUACGAUUCUAGUGACGAUGAGGAAGACGAAGGAGACUAUCGUGAUGCCAUUAAGAAGUCCAACUCCGAGUUGGAAAGCUCCGUUUUUGACUCCAGAGAUCAAGGCACUGCGGAUCAAUGGAUCGAGCGCAACCAAUCAAUGGUUCGACUCACUGGAAAACACCCAUUCAACGCCGAGCCACCUUUGACUAAGCUCAUGCAACAUGGGUUCAUCACCCCUGCUCCUCUUCAUUACGUCCGCAACCAUGGUCCAGUUCCGAACGCCACCUGGGAGGAUUGGACGGUGGAGAUAUGCGGUUUGGUUAAACGACCUGCGCGUUUCAG
This 41418-nucleotide long non-coding RNA is filed under the name Lactuca sativa (garden lettuce). Its description in RNAcentral is "long non-coding RNA (LSAT_LNC007599)". The stretch from base 329 to 482 matches the Rfam family "Small nucleolar RNA snoR2/U65". Lineage: Eukaryota; Viridiplantae; Streptophyta; Magnoliopsida; Asterales; Asteraceae. The record is from RNAcentral.